CUUCUGAUUCGUGUCCCGUUUCACCCUAUAAUAAUAGCUACAAUAAGCAUCUGAAUUAACUAACCGGAUAAAUUGUUCAUCAUGCGUAAUAACAAUGAGUUGGAAGUUUGCUUGUUUCCUUCUAAAUUCGACAAUCCGAGAUAAAUUCUUAGCCAAACUACAUAUAUUCUCUUCAUCGAGAUUUGUAGUUGGCUCAUCCAGAGCCAAAAUUCCACAGUUUACACCUAGACAUUCUGCCAAAGCCAACCUUAUAAUAAUACACGCUAAAACCUUUUGACCAGCACUGCAGCGGCCUCGCAUAUCUAGCUCGGCAUCACCUUUAACCAUACAGACCUGUUGUUAGUAAGUAACAGUAGAUAUAUGUACGUACUCUAUAAUUGUAAGUCCUAUUCCCUUUACCUUCACUAUCAGAGCGAAUUAAAAUGGUAUCAAUGUCAGUUCCACAGUAGGUUUGUUUCCAAAGUUCGUCUACUAUUCGAUUGAUCUCAUUCAUUUUCAUUGAAUGUAGUUGCAUGAUAGCGACAUCAAGAGCUUUCGCAUACUUGCCCAAAUCCUCAUUUGCUUUACCCGUAGUCUUUGUUUUUAUAAGCUGUCGUCGAAAUCUUUCGUCCGCAUCUUUAAACUCCAUAUUAAGUUCUUCCUUGUCUUUAGUAAUGGAGUUCUCCAAUUGCUUACAUUCUCCUAAUAAGCCUGCGCGCUCAGCGUUGAGUGCCCCGUAUUUUGACUUUAAAAUUUGCAUUCGUUCGCGAAAUGAUUCCCGAUCAUCAUGUGAUUGCUGGGAUAACAAAUAAUUCUUUUGCGUCACGGCUUCUUCUAAUUGUCUCAUUAAAGCGCGAAGGCGUAGAUUAUCAGAUGCGUUCCUUUCCCUCGUGCGCAAAUCCGCUAAGCGCUCCUGUAACUUUCUUAAAUUAUCAUCAGUACUUUCAAUUUUAGAAGCAAUAAUCCUAACUUCUUCUCCAAUAUUACUUUUCUUCUCUUUUAUGCAUUUAAACUUUGUGGAAACGUCAAUCCUCAAUUCAGAGUUCCAUUCAUUAAGUUGAUGCAAGUAUUCAUUAGCUUCAAGGAUUUCUGUCCGACUUUUUUGAGCCAUUUCUUGAAUAUCUGCUUCUAAUUUUUCAUACUCUGACUCUAAUUCGUUUAAAAAGGGUGCCUGAGAACCUUGUUUAGAGCUAACUUCCAAAAGCUUUUUCUUUUGAAGGUCACAGUCUUCGGAGGAUUUGUUAAUAUCUUUUUCGAGUUGUUCCAAUUCAUUGACCUGAAAAUUCAACUUGGUAAGUUUUAGUUUCUGCUCGUUAUUGGCUAAGACAGCAUCGUCUAUUUUCUUUUUAAAAGAAGUUUCCUCCAAUUUAGUUCUUUCUAUUUGUUUCCUUAAGUAUCCCCUCUUCUCGAGUAAUUUUUCUCUCUCAGCAUAAAUUUCGUCUAAAUUAUGAUGAGCAAUAGAAGAAGGAAGUUCAAUACGUAAAACUUCAGUUUCUCUGUCAAUUGUACGAAUUUCUUCCUCUAAAUUAGAAAUGUCUUUAACCAACAAUUGUAAUUUCUCUAAGUUUGCUCUUCUUAAAUACAAGGUAUCCAAUUCUGAUUGAAUUUCGUCCUUACGUAUAUCCAAACCUUGUAGAUCACCUUGCAAAUCUGAAAGUUCAGUUUUCGUCUCUGAAAGCCUUUUAUCAAGCAGUUCAAUCUCAUCGAAAAUCGGUUUAGCUUCAGAAAGAUUUUUAAAAGUUUUAGUAAGGGUUUCAAGGUGACUAUAAACUUCAGCAGAUUUGGAUGGUAUAACGUCAAUCAUGGAGUGACAGUGUUCCACAAAGAGCUUUUCCUCUUCUUUAUCGAGGCUUCUUUGACAUAGUUGACAAGCAUGUUGGUCAACACAUAUUUCUAUAGCUUUCUCAUAAAAUGUAGAUCCAAAUUGCAAUGAGUGAAGGGUUUUCCUAUUUUCUUCUAUUUCACUUUCCAAAGCUUUAAUUUCAGAUAUCAUAGAAGCGAAGGUCCCACUAUAAG
Molecule: long non-coding RNA, 1995 nt
Filed under: Schizosaccharomyces pombe (fission yeast)
Lineage: Eukaryota; Fungi; Ascomycota; Schizosaccharomycetes; Schizosaccharomycetales; Schizosaccharomycetaceae
Source: RNAcentral